GGGAGGACAGGUGGUGCAUGGUUGUCGUCAGCUCGUGUCGUGAGAUGUUGGGCUAAGUCCCGCAACGAGCGCAACCCUUAUCGUUAGUUGCUACCAUUAAGUUGAGCACUCUAGCGAGACUGCCCGGGUUAACCGGGAGGAAGGUGGGGAUGACGUCAAAUCAUCAUGCCCCCUUAUGUCUAGGGCUACACACGUGCUACAAUGGUGAGAACAAAGAGAGGCAAGACCGCGAGGUGGAGCAAAUCUCACAAAACUCAUCCCAGUUCGGAUUGCAGGCUGAAACUCGCCUGCAUGAAGCCGGAGUUGCUAGUAAUCGCGAAUCAGCAUGUCGCGGUGAAUACGUUCCCGGGCCUU
This 354-nucleotide ribosomal RNA is filed under the name uncultured Clostridium sp. RNAcentral's name for it is "bacterial SSU rRNA". It matches the Rfam family "Bacterial small subunit ribosomal RNA", at positions 1028 to 1382 of the family's 1533-position model. Lineage: Bacteria; Bacillati; Bacillota; Clostridia; Eubacteriales; Clostridiaceae. The record is from RNAcentral.